Molecule: ribosomal RNA, 253 nt
Filed under: uncultured bacterium
Lineage: Bacteria
Description: partial 16S ribosomal RNA
Rfam family: Bacterial small subunit ribosomal RNA
Source: RNAcentral
GACGUAGGGCGCGAGCGUUGUCCGGAUUUAUUGGGCGUAAAGAGCUCGUAGGCGGCUUGUCGCGUCGAAUGUGAAAUCUCAGGGCUCAACUCUGACAUUGCAUUCGAUACGGGCAGGCUCGAGUUCGGUAGGGGAGACUGGAAUUCCUGGUGUAGCGGUGAAAUGCGCAGAUAUCAGGAAGAACACCCGUGGCGAAAGCGGCUCUCUGGAACGGUACUGACGCUGAGACGCGAAAGCGUGGGGAGCGAACAGG